RNAcentral lists this ribosomal RNA (253 nucleotides) under uncultured bacterium. RNAcentral describes it as "partial 16S ribosomal RNA". It matches the Rfam family "Bacterial small subunit ribosomal RNA", at positions 524 to 776 of the family's 1533-position model. The record is from RNAcentral.
GACGUAGGGCGCGAGCGUUGUCCGGAUUUAUUGGGCGUAAAGAGCUCGUAGGCGGCUUGUCGCGUCGUCCGUGAAAACUUGGGGCUCAACCCCAAGCUUGCGGUCGAUACGGGCAGGCUAGAGUUCGGUAGGGGAGACUGGAAUUCCUGGUGUAGCGGUGAAAUGCGCAGAUAUCAGGAGGAACACCGGUGGCGAAGGCGGGUCUCUGGGCCUUACCUGACGCUGAGGCGCGAAAGCUAGGGGAGCGAACCGG